RNAcentral lists this ribosomal RNA (497 nucleotides) under uncultured bacterium. RNAcentral's name for it is "partial 16S ribosomal RNA". It matches the Rfam family "Bacterial small subunit ribosomal RNA", at positions 28 to 507 of the family's 1533-position model. The record is from RNAcentral.
GAUGAACGCUGGCGGCGUGCCUAAUACAUGCAAGUCGAGCGAACAGAUGAGGAUCUUGCUCCUCUGACGUUAGCGGCGGACGGGUGAGUAACACGUGGAUAACCUACCUAUAAGACUGGGAUAACUUCGGGAAACCGGAUCUAAUACCGGAUAAUAUAUUGAACGGCAUGGUUCAAUAGUGAAAGACGGUUUGGCUGGCACUUAUAGAUGGAUCCGCGCCGGAUUAGCUAGUUGGUAAGGUAACGGCUUACCAAGGCAACGAUGCGUAGCCGACCUGAGAGGGUGAUCGGCCACACUGGAACUGAGACACGGUCCAGACUCCUACGGGAGGCAGCAGUAGGGAAUCUUCCGCAAUGGGCGAAAGCCUGACGGAGCCACGCCGCGUGAGUGAUGAAGGUCUUCGGAUCGUAAAACUCUGUUAUUAGGGAAGAACAACUGUGUAAGUAACUAUGCACGUCUUGACGGUACCUAAUCAGAAAGCCCCGGCUAACUACGUG